RNAcentral lists this ribosomal RNA (301 nucleotides) under uncultured bacterium. RNAcentral's name for it is "partial 16S ribosomal RNA". It matches the Rfam family "Bacterial small subunit ribosomal RNA", at positions 509 to 807 of the family's 1533-position model. The record is from RNAcentral.
CAGUAGCCACGGGAAUACGGAGGGUGCAAGCGUUAAUCGGAAUUACUGGGCGUAAAGCGCACGCAGGCGGUCUGUCAAGUCAGAUGUAAAAUCCCCGGGCUUAACCUGGGAACUGCAUUUGAAACUGGCAGGCUAGAGUCUUGUAGAGGGGGGUAGAAUUCCAGGUGUAGCGGUGAAAUGCGUAGAGAUCUGGAGGAAUACCGGUGGCGAAGGCGGCCCCCUGGACAAAGACUGACGCUCAGGUGCGAAAGCGUGGGGAGCAAACAGGAUUAGAUACCCCUGUAGUCCCUGUCUCUUAUAC